Molecule: ribosomal RNA, 527 nt
Filed under: Pseudaulacaspis pentagona
Lineage: Eukaryota; Metazoa; Arthropoda; Insecta; Hemiptera; Diaspididae
Description: eukaryotic LSU rRNA
Source: RNAcentral
AUCUGGGCGGCGGAAUUCAGGAUGGUCGUGUUCGCGCGCGGCCGUUUGAUAUUUCCGUCGCCGUGUCGGACGUCGCGACCUGUUCGCCAGUCGGUCCCUGCUCGGAGGAAUCGCGAUCGAGCUCGUUGCGCGGUACGUUUCGGCGUGUCGCGCGGCGAAGACGCGACUCUCUGGCUGACGGCGGACAGUAAGCAACGGUGUCCGGCGUCGUGUCUCGCACUCGACGUCCGGUGCCGGUCUGCGACGAUUUCUUCGGGCCUCUUUCCGACCCGUCUUGAAACACGGACCAAGGAGUCUAACAUGCGCGCGAGUCGCGGGGCAUCGAGCGUACCACGGUGCGCUCGUUAUGUGCGAAACCCGUCUCUGAAAGGCGUAAUGAAAGUGAACAGGGAAGAUGGCGUUCCGAGACCACGUACCGUGAUCGAGUGUCGCGGCCGGACGUCCGCACUCCCGGGGCGUCUCAAUGGCUCGUCGCGGACGCGGACGAUCGUCUCUCCGGGGACGGUGGUCGGUCUGCGUCGGACCGA